UAGCCGUAUAUUAAAGUUGUUGCAGUUGAAAAGCUCGUAGUUGAACUUCUGACUAUUGCGUAAGCCGGAUUCGUUCGCUCUCGUGAUAGUCAUCCGCUUGGGAACUCCGUUCGAACUUAACUGUUUGGCGGAAGGAACAGGCAUUUUACUUUGAAAAAAUUAGAGUGUUCAAGGCAGGCUAUAGCCCUGAAUACACAAGCAUGGAAUAAUGAAAUAGGACUGGUUCCAUUUUAUUGGUUAUUGGACUAGUAAUGAUUAAUAGGGACAGUUGGAGGCAUUAGUAUUUAAUUGUCAGAGGUGAAAUUCUUGGAUUUAUUAAAGACUAACUUAUGCGAAAGCAUUUGCCAAGGAUGUUUUCAUUAAUCAAGAACGAAAGUUAGGGGAUCAAAGACGAUCAGAUACCGUCCUAGUCUUAACUAUAAACUAUGCCGACUAGGGAUUGGCCGGGUAUUUAAAACCCGGUCAGCACCUUAUGAGAAAUCAAAGUCUAUGGGUUCUGGGGGGAGUAUGGUCGCAAGGCUGAAACUUAAAGGAAUUGACGGAAGGGCAC
This 550-nucleotide ribosomal RNA is filed under the name uncultured alveolate. RNAcentral's name for it is "SSU rRNA". It matches the Rfam family "Eukaryotic small subunit ribosomal RNA", at positions 595 to 1167 of the family's 1831-position model. The record is from RNAcentral.